UGGUACACCAUACCUCAAUCCAAAGUUAGCGUGAAGUGGCUCUGAAGUCCGCAGCAAUCAUAAUUUUUUAAUUGAAGCGCUUUCCUGCAAAUAAAUUGAUCAACAUCAUUUGAUCACUAACCUAUCACGAGAGUUUCCAGACGUAUAUACAGACCUAUAUAUGACCGAGAUCAGGAGUCCGGACUCCAAAUGUGGAACACGAAAAGGCAUUGAAUGUCACGGCUAUUAUUUGCCUCGUGGUACUUGCCUUCGAAUUGGAACCAAAUGUCCAACCAUUAUUGGUCUCGGAGGAAAACCCUAAUGACCAAUGAAAUUUAAUGUCAGAAGAAUUAUAUUCCACGUAUAAAUUGAAUACUUACUCCAUAAUAAACAGGAACAGGAAUGGGUUCAAUAUAAUGUGAUGAAGGCAGUGUACGUUCUCCAGACUUAUCCCUUUCUCUUCUUUCUCGGAAUCGCUCUCUCGAUCUUUCUCGAUAAGGUCUUUCGUGUUUAGAUGAUUUGUUGCUUCAAUAAUAUUUAUAACAUUUAGUUUUCAAGAAACAUCAUUUUACAUUAUUUCAUAUGUUUUAUUAUGUACCUGUUGUGACAAUCUUUGGCCCAUGCUCUUUGUUCUCCUUCCCUUGAAUGUGAAUUAUCUCUAUGACUUUUUCUUUUUCGCAGAUGCUUUUCCUCUGCAGUGUGCAAUUGACUAUGUGGCCUGACUUUUUCUUUAUACUCUCUACUUCCACCUCUACUAUGAUCUCUGUCUCUAAAUAAAUUAUACAACACUACAAUAAAACUGAAAAAUAAACAUAUUAAACAAAUAUACAAAAUUAUAACAAA
Long non-coding RNA from Bombus terrestris (buff-tailed bumblebee), 822 nucleotides. RefSeq lists it as uncharacterized. The transcript is spliced from 2 exons. The record is from RefSeq and is a predicted model, not a curated record. Lineage: Eukaryota; Metazoa; Arthropoda; Insecta; Hymenoptera; Apidae.